This 745-nucleotide long non-coding RNA is filed under the name Struthio camelus australis. Its description in RNAcentral is "lncRNA (ENSSCUG00000017448.1)". Lineage: Eukaryota; Metazoa; Chordata; Aves; Struthioniformes; Struthionidae. The record is from RNAcentral.
GCAAAGGGGAACAUCAGUUUAUGAAUGCAAAACUUACAGUAGAAUUUUUCUUUUUUUUUAGUUGAACAUGUUCACUGAAGAAAGCCCCCAGGCAACUGUAACUUCCUCAGCUGGCAUUUAUUUGGCAGAAAAAUCAAGGCCUCAGUGAAUUUACCACUGCUUCAGGAAGCAUCCACCCACAAUAUCGCUCUGCCUGAACUCAACCCUCCGAGGUGCUGAGCUCCUUCAAUUCCUCUUGAAGUCAGUGUUGAGGUGCUGGGCUAACAAGGUUGAGGCCAUAGCUCAGCACAUCUACAGUCGUGGUUGUGACCUGCAGAUCUGCGUCUCAGGGUCUGCUGCUGGCUGAUGUGACAGCAUGAAAUACAGCGAUGAAAAUUCAGAGAGGAUGCCUAUGUGAGAAAGCUGGAGCUAUCUCAGGUACCAGCUGAUGUGGUGGCUACAUCACUUGUGGGACCCAAGAUCAAGAUAAGUAAAAGGAGGCCAAAGGCACAGCAAGAAAUUCUGGAAUUUGAAUCUCUCCUUCCAACAAAGGCACCAGAUGAGGGAGCUGCUGCUAUGGUAGAUGACUACUAAGAGCUCAAGCCAAGGAGGGAAAUGCCAAAAUGACAGAGGAAAGAAGAUCUACCCAUACAAAUGUGGACAGUAUUAUACAGAAAUGUUCCCAAAGACUAUAUUUUGCUGCAGUGCUUGGAGCCAUAGCCAAAUGUUGUAUUUGAAUAUGGAUAGCCAGUUGGUUUCUACUUGA